CCCUUUCCAACCACUUGUCCAAGUGGGACCCAUUGUACCAUUUUAAUUAAAAAAAAAUAUUUUCUGUCACCCAGGUGGGCCCCACGCGGGUCCACCUCCAAAUUCAUCUUCACUCUCUCAUUUUUUCUCUCUUUCACACCAUAUACGUAAAUCUCUCUUCUUCACAAAAUCACACUACAUUUUUCUCUUUUCUCUCCCUCAUUAAAGCUCACGGCCCCACCUCCUUCAACUUUUUAUUUCAUUUUGAUUUUCCCCACUCAGAAUUCUACACAAUUUACGUAACUCCCAUGCACUCACACCUUCAUCCCUUCUUUCUUUUUCUUCUUUGACUUUUCAACCCAACCCACCUUUGUUCACCCUCACUUUUACGUCACUUACUACCCCUACUCUCUUCUUAUCUUAUC
RNAcentral lists this long non-coding RNA (404 nucleotides) under Vigna radiata. RNAcentral describes it as "long non-coding RNA (VRAD_LNC008478)". The record is from RNAcentral. Lineage: Eukaryota; Viridiplantae; Streptophyta; Magnoliopsida; Fabales; Fabaceae.